Molecule: ribosomal RNA, 325 nt
Filed under: Colophon izardi
Lineage: Eukaryota; Metazoa; Arthropoda; Insecta; Coleoptera; Lucanidae
Description: partial 16S ribosomal RNA
Source: RNAcentral
CGUGCAAAGGUAGCAUAAUCAUUAGUUUUUUAAUUGAAAGCUGGAAUGAAUGGUUGGACAAGAAAAUUUCUGUCUCUAUGUAAAAUUUAGAAUUUUAUUUUUUAGUUAAAAAGCUUAAAUUUUUUUAAGGGACGAGAAGACCCUAUAGAAUUUUAUAUAUUUAUAUGUUUUUAAUGAUUGGAUUUUUUAUUUGAGGAUUAAUUAAAUAUAUUUGGUUGGGGUGAUUGAAAAAUUUAAAUAACUUUUUUUUGUUUGGUUCAUUGAUUGAUGAAUAAUUGAUCCAUAAGUUGUGAUUAUAAGACUAAAUUACCUUAGGGAUAACAGC